GUAGUGAUGAUGAAUUUGAGAUUUGGGAGAGGGAGAGGAUUGAGAAGAAGAAGAAGAAAAGAGUGAUUUGAGAGUUCAUGGGUCUUGAAAGAUUUUAGUGACUUUCGUUAUCUUCCUUGUUGUUGUUCUUCUUCUCUAAUAAGUUCUUCAAUGGAGUUUUGUCGUCUCUAU
Molecule: non-coding RNA, 171 nt
Organism: Arabidopsis thaliana (thale cress)
Lineage: Eukaryota; Viridiplantae; Streptophyta; Magnoliopsida; Brassicales; Brassicaceae
Source: RefSeq